Carassius carassius (crucian carp) is the source of this 313-nucleotide long non-coding RNA. RefSeq lists it as uncharacterized. The transcript is spliced from 3 exons. The record is from RefSeq and is a predicted model, not a curated record. Lineage: Eukaryota; Metazoa; Chordata; Actinopteri; Cypriniformes; Cyprinidae.
UGAACUGUGGACAAGAGACGCAUGGAGGGAUGGACUGAAAGAGAGAGAGAGAAGAGCAAGAAGGGAUUGCAUUGAUGUACUGGAGGAUGGACUUGUGGAUAUAUUGUGAUAUUUUUAUCAUUUUUUUUGGACUCUGAUUCUGACGGCACCCAUUCACUGCAGAGCAUCCAUCUGUUCUGAUGAAGAAACAAACUCAUCUACAUCUUGGAUGACCUGAGGAUGGAAAUUUUGUGGCUGCUUGUAUGUUCCAGUUGGUGUAUAGGGUGUGUUGUUUUUCAAUUCAUUUUUGCUCUCUCUGAAAAUAAUGCUACAG